UACGUAGGCAGCGAGCGUUGUUCGGAGUUACUGGGCGUAAAGGGUGUGUAGGCGGUUGUUUAAGUUUGGUGUGAAAUCUCCCGGCUCAACUGGGAGGGUGCGCCGAAUACUGAAUGACUUGGAGUGCGGGAGAGGAGAGUGGAAUUCCUGGUGUAGCGGUGAAAUGCGUAGAUAUCAGGAGGAACACCGGUGGUGUAGACGGCUCUCUGGACCGUAACUGACGCUGAGGCACGAAAGCUAGGGUAGCAAACGGG
Molecule: ribosomal RNA, 254 nt
Filed under: uncultured bacterium
Lineage: Bacteria
Description: partial 16S ribosomal RNA
Rfam family: Bacterial small subunit ribosomal RNA
Source: RNAcentral